AGGCACAGUGGUGCAUGCCUGUAGUCCCACCUCCUCCUGAGGUGGGAGGAUCGCUUGAGUUCAGGAGUUCUGGGCUGUAGUGCGCUAUACCGAUCGGCUGUCUGCACUAAGUUCGGCGUCAAUAUGAUGACCUCCCAGGAGUGGGGGACCACCAGGUUGCCUAAGGAGGGGUGAACUGGCCCAAGUUGGAAACGGAGCAGGUCAAAACACCCGUGCUGAUCAGUAGUGGGAUCGUGCCUGUGAAUAGCCACUGAACUCCAGCCUGGGCAACAUAGCGAGACCUCGUCUCU
RNAcentral lists this signal recognition particle RNA (290 nucleotides) under Aotus nancymaae (Ma's night monkey). Its description in RNAcentral is "Metazoan signal recognition particle RNA (ENSANAG00000012098.1)". It matches the Rfam family "Metazoan signal recognition particle RNA". From Rfam's summary of the family: The signal recognition particle (SRP) is a universally conserved ribonucleoprotein. It is involved in the co-translational targeting of proteins to membranes. The record is from RNAcentral. Lineage: Eukaryota; Metazoa; Chordata; Mammalia; Primates; Aotidae.